AGAGUUUGAUUAUGGCUCAGGAUGAACGCUAGCGGCAGGCUUAACACAUGCAAGUCGAGGGGCAGCGCGGAGUAGCAAUACUUGGCGGCGACCGGCGCACGGGUGCGUAACGCGUAUGCAACCUGCCCGUAACAGGGGUAUAACGGAGGGAAACUUCCACUAAUCCCCCAUAUUCUUGCGGAUUCGCAUGUUUCUGCAAGGAAAGCUUUUUGUGGUUACGGAUGGGCAUGCGUGACAUUAGGUAGUUGGCGGGGCAACGGCCCACCAAGCCGACGAUGUCUAGGGGAGCUGAGAGGCUUAUCCCCCACACUGGUACUGAGACACGGACCAGACUCCUACGGGAGGCAGCAGUGAGGAAUAUUGGUCAAUGGGAGGAAUCCUGAACCAGCCAUGCCGCGUGGAAGGAAGAAGGUCCUAUGGGUUGUAAACUCCUUUUGUUCCAGAGUAAUAAGUCGUUUGCGAACGAUGAUGAGAGUAUGGGACGAAUAAGCAUCGGCUAACUCCGUGCCAGCCGCCGC
RNAcentral lists this ribosomal RNA (518 nucleotides) under uncultured bacterium. RNAcentral describes it as "bacterial SSU rRNA". It matches the Rfam family "Bacterial small subunit ribosomal RNA", at positions 8 to 518 of the family's 1533-position model. The record is from RNAcentral.